UUAGCUCACGUUAUCGUAAUAUUACUUGACCUGCAUUAUACGAUAUGUUUUAAAUGAUUAGGUGCUCACAAAAGCAUUAAAAUACAAACCAGGAAGUUUAGAGAACAAGGAAAAUAAUAAACCAAAGAAAAUUUAAAGUUCAUUCAUUUCUUUCUUGCACAUGGAAUAGCCUGAUGCAUUGUUCUAGAAUGCCAUAUGUCAGUCAGUCCAGCGUUUCUGCAGAUGUCGCCCAUGAAGCUGGAAAACAGCCUCUGACCAAUAGGUUUGCACAUGUACCAGAUCUGGACUGCAUCAAGAGCCACCCGCGCAAGCCUGCUUAUAGUGCUGAACAACUUUUCUGCAUGUGAAUCAUACUUGGAAAGGUUGUUGAAGCGAUGGGAACUUUGUCUGCGUGAGUUGUAAGUAAUUGUCUAAUCUACUUAGCACUCUUUUUUCGAAGAGUUUGUUGAAGCACGGCAUAAGGAAUACAGGUAUG
Molecule: long non-coding RNA, 475 nt
Organism: Mya arenaria
Lineage: Eukaryota; Metazoa; Mollusca; Bivalvia; Myida; Myidae
Exons: 3
Source: RefSeq, a predicted model, not a curated record